GGUUAAGCGACUAAGCGUACACGGUGGAUGCCCUGGCAGUCAGAGGCGAUGAAGGACGUGCUAAUCUGCGAAAAGCGUCGGUAAGGUGAUAUGAACCGUUACAGCCGGCGAUGUCCGAAUGGGGAAACCCAGUGCAAUUCGUUGCACUAUCGUUAACUGAAUACAUAGGUUAACGAGGCGAACCGGGGGAACUGAAACAUCUAAGUACCCCGAGGAAAAGAAAUCAACCGAGAUUCCCCCAGUAGCGGCGAGCGAACGGGGAGCAGCCCAGAGUCUGAAUCAGCUUGUGUGUUAGUGGAACGGUCUGGAAAGUCCGACGGUACAGGGUGAUAGUCCCGUACACCAAAAUGCACAGGCUGUGAACUCGAAGAGUAGGGCGGGACACGUGGUAUCCUGUCUGAAUAUGGGGGGACCAUCCUCCAAGGCUAAAUACUCCUGACUGACCGAUAGUGAACCAGUACCGUGAGGGAAAGGCGAAAAGAACCCCGGCGAGGGGAGUGAAAAAGAACCUGAAACCGUGUACGUACAAGCAGUGGGAGCACCUUCGGGUGUGACUGCGUACCUUUUGUAUAAUGGGUCAGCGACUUAUAUUCUGUAGCAAGGUUAACCGUAUAGGGGAGCCGCAGGGAAACCGAGUCUUAACUGGGCGUUAAGUUGCAGGGUAUAGACCCGAAACCCGGUGAUCUAGCCAUGGGCAGGUUGAAGGUUGGGUAACACUAACUGGAGGACCGAACCGACUAAUGUUGAAAAAUUAGCGGAUGACUUGUGGCUGGGGGUGAAAGGCCAAUCAAACCGGGAGAUAGCUGGUUCUCCCCGAAAGCUAUUUAGGUAGCGCCUCGUGAA
Molecule: ribosomal RNA, 843 nt
Filed under: Klebsiella aerogenes
Lineage: Bacteria; Pseudomonadati; Pseudomonadota; Gammaproteobacteria; Enterobacterales; Enterobacteriaceae
Also listed under: 4 other names
Description: partial 23S ribosomal RNA
Rfam family: Bacterial large subunit ribosomal RNA
Source: RNAcentral